GUGAGGAGGACUCGCAGCGCGGAGCGGUGACGACGAACCGGGUGCCGA
This 48-nucleotide small nucleolar RNA is filed under the name Pyrobaculum aerophilum str. IM2. RNAcentral describes it as "PAEsR118". Lineage: Archaea; Thermoproteati; Thermoproteota; Thermoprotei; Thermoproteales; Thermoproteaceae. The record is from RNAcentral.